Molecule: non-coding RNA, 85 nt
Filed under: Geosporobacter ferrireducens
Lineage: Bacteria; Bacillati; Bacillota; Clostridia; Peptostreptococcales; Thermotaleaceae
Description: c-di-GMP sequence
Rfam family: c-di-GMP-I-GGC riboswitch aptamer
Source: Rfam by way of RNAcentral
AACGACAAGGGCAAACCAUUCGAAAGAAUGGGACGCAAAGCCAUAGGGCCUUUCACGAAAGUGAGUGGCAGCCGUGCUACCGAAG